UUGCCCAAUGAUUAUAGCAAGACGCGUUAUUAUGAGGACUAAUGCUGGAACUCUUUCUUCUACUUCUCCUCUUCUUCCUCCUACCUUGUCCCUUCCUCUUUUACCUUACCCCUCACUUUCCUUAGGGUAUCCAGCGUCCCAUGAGCAAGACUGAGAUAUGAGGGCAA
Molecule: small nucleolar RNA, 167 nt
Organism: Anser brachyrhynchus (Pink-footed goose)
Lineage: Eukaryota; Metazoa; Chordata; Aves; Anseriformes; Anatidae
Product: small nucleolar RNA, C/D box 97
Source: Ensembl